RNAcentral lists this ribosomal RNA (908 nucleotides) under uncultured bacterium. RNAcentral describes it as "bacterial SSU rRNA". It matches the Rfam family "Bacterial small subunit ribosomal RNA", at positions 44 to 982 of the family's 1533-position model. The record is from RNAcentral.
AUGCUUAACACAUGCAAGUCUACUUGAACUUCGGUUUGGGUGGCGGACGGGUGAGUAACGCGUAAAGAACUUGCCUCACAGUUAGGGACAACAUUUGGAAACGAAUGCUAAUACCUGAUAUUAUGAUUUUAGGGCAUCCUAAGAUUAUGAAAGCUAUAUGCGCUGUGAGAGAGCUUUGCGUCCCAUUAGCUCGUUGGAGAGGUAACGGCUCACCAAGGCGAUGAUGGGUAGCCGGCCUGAGAGGGUGAACGGCCACAAGGGGACUGAGACACGGCCCUUACUCCUACGGGAGGCAGCAGUGGGGAAUAUUGGACAAUGGACCAAAAGUCUGAUCCAGCAAUUCUGUGUGCACGAUGACGUUUUUCGGAAUGUAAAGUGCUUUCAGUUGGGAAGAAAAAAAUGACGGUACCAACAGAAGAAGUGACGGCUAAAUACGUGCCAGCAGCCGCGGUAAUACGUAUGUCACAAGCGUUAUCCGGAUUUAUUGGGCGUAAAGCGCGUCUAGGUGGUUAUGUAAGUCUGAUGUGAAAAUGCAGGGCUCAACUCUGUAUUGCGUUGGAAACUGCAUGACUAGAGUACUGGAGAGGUAAGCGGAACUACAAGUGUAGAGGUGAAAUUCGUAGAUAUUUGUAGGAAUGCCGAUGGGGAAGCCAGCUUACUGGACAGAUACUGACGCUAAAGCGCGAAAGCGUGGGUAGCAAACAGGAUUAGAUACCCUGGUAGUCCACGCCGUAAACGAUGAUUACUAGGUGUUGGGGGUCGAACCUCAGCGCCCAAGCUAACGCGAUAAGUAAUCCGCCUGGGGAGUACGUACGCAAGUAUGAAACUCAAAGGAAUUGACGGGGACCGCACAAGCGGUGGAGCAUGUGGUUUAAUUCGACGCAACGCGAGGAACCUUACCAGCGUUU